This 1077-nucleotide long non-coding RNA is filed under the name Chrysemys picta bellii (western painted turtle). RNAcentral's name for it is "lncRNA (ENSCPBG00000010846.1)". The record is from RNAcentral. Lineage: Eukaryota; Metazoa; Chordata; Testudines; Emydidae.
CUUCCCGCACCUAGACGACUGGCUUAUACGGGGCCGGUCUCACCAUCACGUCCAGUCGCAGGUAUACCUACUCAUGGAAACGUUCACUUGCUUGGGUAUCAUGGUAAACCUCAGCAAGUCCGUCCUCGCCCUUACUCAAACAAUAGAGUUUGUAGGAGCAGUCCUGGACGUAAACCAAGCGAGGGCUUUCCGUCCGGAAGCACGGCGCCUGGCUAUAGCAGGCAUAAUUACCAGCCUCUGCAAGUUUCUCACCAUCACAGCAAGGCAGUGCCUCAGGCUGCUGGGUCACAUGGUGUCCUGUACAUACAUGGUGCAACAUGCCAGGCUAAGACUCAGGCCGCUUCAGACGUGGUUGGCGUCUGCCUAUCGACCGGGACGCGACAGCCUAGAGAUGGUCCUCAUGGUCCCAAAGUGCACACUCGACUCCCUGCAGUGGUGGCUGGGUCCUCAGAUGGUGUGUGCCGGGGUCCCGUUCCAUCCCCCCCAACCCACUUUAACUCUGGUUACAGACGCAUCUGCCCUGGGAUGGGGAGCCCACCUCAGCAGCCUAUCAACGCAGGGCUUAUGGCACGAGAGCGAGCUGUCGCUGCACAUCAACAUCAGAGAGCUCAGGGCGAUCCGCCUUGCGUGCCAAGCCUUUCUUCCCCACUUGCAGGGCCACUGCGUAGCAGUCCUAAUGGACAACACCACGGCCAUGUUCUACCUGAACAAGCAAGGCGGAAGGAACCCGGUCAUCGCCGCUCUGCCAAGAAGCCCUCUUUCUGUGGGACUUCUGCUUAGCCCACUCCAUCAACCUUCAGGCCUCUUGCCUGCCGGGUGUCCAAAACGUUCUGGCGGACACUUUGAGCAGGCGUUUUCUGACUCACGAAUGGUCCAUACGCCUGGAUAUCAUUCAUUCCAUUUUCCGCACCUGUGGGUUUCCCCGAAUUGACUUGUUCUCUUCGCAGACCAACAGAAAGUGUCCAUUUUUCUGCUCCUUCCGGAGUCACAGCCUGGGCUCGUUAGCGGAUGCCUUUCAGAUCACGUGGUUGGGCCAGUUGCUGUAUGCCUUCCCACCAUUCCCACUGGUUCACAAGG